CUCUCAUUCUGCCAGCAGAGUGACUGCAACAGCACCAAAGCCACUACAGUACACCGUCAUUGUAAAACAGAUAGGUUAAAUGUGACAACAUCCUCUGAAAACCUCAAAGAAACAAACCAAUAAGCAACAGGCACACGGCCCGAGACCCCUACAGCAUCUCAAUAUUCACUUCCUGCGUGGAAACUAUUUCAGUUCUGUGUGUAGGCACUCUGGUCAGGUUUAAUCUAACCAGUGUGUAAGUUGUACAGGCUGCCGGUUAUAAAUACUGACAUUCUUACAGUUUUAUUUUUGGAACGCAGAACAAGAUAACAAGACUGAAGAGCUGUAGAUUGUCACUAUUGGUGGGAUGGAAGACUUUUGUAGACACUUGGGCAUCAAUGGGACCUUGACUCUGAUAUGUUGUAUCUUCUGUAUCUUCUUGCCAGAAGGUAAAGCAGCUUGGGAAACCAUUUCAGAGAAUGUUGGCAGCAGAGUAACCCUGCAAUGUAGCAACGAGUCAAUCAGCACGCUCAACCAGUUGACGUGGAAGAUGAAUGGAGUUACCAUGUUCACUUUCAACCCUCUGGGAAACUUCUACGUCAGUCCACAAGCUACCAACCUGACCUUGAAAAUGUCUGAAUCACAGAGUCAGCUGUAUGCGCUCAUCAUAGAGAACGCUCAGCUCUAUCACACGGGAAACUACACUUGUGAAGUUACUUCCAUGAAGGACGGAGUCUUGGAUCAGAACUGGAGGCUGAUAAUUAAAGAAAGCACAGAAAUCUGGGACAUUCUGAUGAUAGCUACUGUUUCUUCUGUGUGUCUCCUGAUCUUUUUAAUUGGUUUGGUCAUUCUAAUAAGAUGCAACAAACGGCAUACAAGAAAUAGCAGGCCGUCUACCUCAGCAGAAGCGCAGCAGCCAACAGAAGAUAUUUAUGAAAACUGCCUGGAAAUUGAACGAUAUAAUCGAAGGCAUAGUCAGCCUAACAAACCUUUACCUAUCCAACACCGUGUGUAGCACACAUUAUAGAAGAAAACUGGUACUUUUGUAAUGCCAUCAGCUGCUAUUUCAAAUAAUGUACUGUAUGCAAUCAAGAGCAAAAUCUUUUAAAGCUGUUACAGUAAAUUUAUUCAGUUUGUGAGGUGAAACUACUGAGGGAAAUGUGUGACUCUUUGUCUGUCGUUUGAGUUAUAUUUAUACAACAUGAUAUCAUAAAAGAUGUCAUUGGUGAACUGUAAAUAGUAAGAUCAAAUCCUAAAAAUAUUAUAGUGAGAAACUCAGUUUUUCCUUUGAAGCAAGCGUUUGGUGACAGUGGGGAAGAAAAAUUCCCCUUUAACAAGAAGUAACCUGAGACAAAACCGCUGUCUACUGCUCUAAUGCUGUGCAGGUAUUUUGAGAUUGGGUAACAAGGGCAGAACCUUAAAAUAAGAGCUUUGAGAUGAUAGAUGCUCUGCAGAGAUAGGUGAUAAUCCUCUGUAGGAGGUUUUUUGAUCCAUUCUUAAAGAUGCACAUCUGAACAUGCAUGAAAGUGCUGUACUUUGAAUCAUUUCUGGUCUUAUACUUCCAUAAGAAAACUCUAGUCUGGACCAAAAUUUGUACAAUAAUACCCACCCCUCCUCUAUCACUGAAAAAUGCAGAAUCUAUAAAACUACAAAUAUGUUUCAUUUCAAGAGUUUAAGUAUUAGAUACAUCUCUGAAAGUCUAUACUUCUUGUUUGUGCAAUGCAGGCUUCACACAUGUAUCAGCUGCUUCCCAGUACUUGUCUAAAACUUUCAAAUUCCAGCAGAUUAAUUAUAAACUGUCAAGUUGUAGCAAUGACAAAAAAGUUUUUUUGAGGGGAAGUGGAUUUUUUUGGACUUUUUUCAUGGAUUAAUGCAGCUCUGAAGGCUUGAGAAGGAACACAGAGCAACUAUCAGAAGAGUUUUAACGACAAAACCUGACAGAGAACGCAGCAUUUAAACAGACACUUCAUGGGUGCAUAGAGCAUUUACCAUGUAUUUGUGGUUGUAAGUGUGAAAUGGCAAGGCUAAAAAUAAACCAUAAUCUACCCAAGAAGAUCACAGCUUUUCUCACUGAGUCUGUCACAACAUCUGGGGGCUUUUAACUUGGUGCUUGGCAACCUGUCCACUGGUAGCUGACAGUGAAAUGCAUUUCCUAAUUAUUUUUUUAAUCUCAGUGGCAUAUACUGAAAACAUAAAUAAAACAGAUUUAUAUUUUAAUUAGAUUAAACUAUGAAAUGUUA
Amphiprion ocellaris (clown anemonefish) is the source of this 2219-nucleotide long non-coding RNA. NCBI's taxonomy places the organism in Eukaryota, Metazoa, Chordata, Actinopteri, Pomacentridae. The record is from Ensembl.